This 419-nucleotide ribosomal RNA is filed under the name bacterium. RNAcentral describes it as "partial 16S ribosomal RNA". It matches the Rfam family "Bacterial small subunit ribosomal RNA", at positions 355 to 776 of the family's 1533-position model. The record is from RNAcentral.
UGGGGGAUAUUGCACAAUGGGCGAAAGCCUGAUGCAGCGACGCCGCGUGGGGGAUGAAGGCCUUCGGGUUGUAAACUUCUUUUGCUCUGAACAAGGCAUGCUAAUGGGUGUGUUGAGUGUAGGGGUUGAUUAGCGCCGGCUAACUACGUGCCAGCAGCCGCGGUAAUACGUAGGGCGCGAGCGUUGUCCGGAAUUAUUGGGCGUAAAGGGCUUGUAGGUGGCUGGUUGCGUCUGUCGUGAAAGCUCAUGGCUUAACUGUGGGUUUGCGGUGGGUACGGGCUGGCUUGAGUGCAGUAGGGGAGGCUGGAAUUCCUGGUGUAGAGGUGGAAUGCGCAGAUAUCAGGAGGAAUACCGGUGGCGAAGGCGGGUCUCUGGGCUGUUACUGACACUGAGGAGCGAAAGCAUGGGGAGCGAACAGG